Molecule: ribosomal RNA, 497 nt
Filed under: uncultured bacterium
Lineage: Bacteria
Description: partial 16S ribosomal RNA
Rfam family: Bacterial small subunit ribosomal RNA
Source: RNAcentral
GAUGAACGCUGGCGGCGUGCCUAAUACAUGCAAGUCGAGCGAACGGACGAGAAGCUUGCUUCUCUGAUGUUAGCCGCGGACGGGUGUGUAACACGUGGAUAACCCACCUAUAAGACUGGGAUAACUUCGGGAAACCGUAGCUAAUACCGGAUAAUAUUUUGAACCGCAUUGUUCAAAAGUGAAAGACGGUCUUGCUGUAACUUAUAGAUGGAUCCGCGCUGCAUUAGCUAGUUUGUAAGGUAACGGCCUACCAAGGCAACGAUGCAUAGCCGACCUGAGAGGGUGAUAGCCCACACUGGAACUGAGACACGGUCCAGCCUCCUACGGGAGGCAGCAGUAGGGAAUCUUCCGCAAUAGGCGAAAGCCUGACGGAACGAGGCGACGUGAGUGAUGAAGGUCUUCGGAUCGUAAAACUCUGUUAUUAGGGAAGAACAUUUGUAUAAGUAGCUGUGCACAUCUUGACGGUACCUAAUCAGGAAGCCACGGCUAACUACGUG